This 464-nucleotide ribosomal RNA is filed under the name uncultured bacterium. Its description in RNAcentral is "partial 16S ribosomal RNA". It matches the Rfam family "Bacterial small subunit ribosomal RNA", at positions 338 to 795 of the family's 1533-position model. The record is from RNAcentral.
CCUACGGGAGGCAGCAGUAGGGAAUUUUCGUCAAUGGGCGCAAGCCUGAACGAGCAAUGCCGCGUGAACGAGGAAGGUCUUCGGAUCGUAAAGUUCUGUUGAAGGGGAAAAAGAUCGGAGAGAGGAAAUGGUCUCCGAUUGAUAUUACCCUUCGAGGAAGUCACGGCUAACUACGUGCCAGCAGCCGCGGUAAUACGUAGGUGGCGAGCGUUAUCCGGAAUGAUUGGGCGUAAAGGGUGCGUAGGCGGCCUGCUAAGUCUGGAGUGAAAGGUACCGGCUCAACCGGUACAGGCUCUGGAAACUGGCGGGCUAGAGAGAAGGAGAGGGCGGUGGAAUUCCAUGUGUAGCGGUAAAAUGCGUAGAUAUAUGGAAGAACACCAGUGGCGAAGGCGGCCGCCUGGCCUGUUACUGACGCUGAGGCACGAAAGCGUGGGGAGCAAAUAGGAUUAGAUACCCCUGUAGUC